Non-coding RNA from Ictidomys tridecemlineatus (thirteen-lined ground squirrel), 1274 nucleotides. The record is from RefSeq and is a predicted model, not a curated record. Lineage: Eukaryota; Metazoa; Chordata; Mammalia; Rodentia; Sciuridae.
CUCAACACUCAUUUAGAAGUUACUAACAAGGAACUCAUAAUUGCCUUAUUAAUUAGCAAGUGUGGAGAAAGUUUUUCAGCCUUGUCCUGGGCUCCCCAGGCCUGCACUGUCAUUGCCUCUCCAGGUGAAGUGAUAAUUGCAGCCCUGAGGGGAAGUGAGGUCACAGGAGCACAAACCUUUAUCUCAGGGCCCAGCUCCCUCCCUCCCUCCAUGCUGGCUGCCAGGACCUCACACUGAGCCCAGCACCCUGCACACAAGAAGCACAUGUUAUUCUCAGUGAUUCCUGUUUGAGUUCUCAUCUUGGACUCUGGCUCUGAAUAUUUCACCCUGUGCAGACACCUGCAGCAGGUCAAGUACAUCCAAUGAAUGACCUUUUAGCAGGUUAGCAUCACCUGAUCAUCAAGGCUCAGUUUUCUGGAAAGCACACUGUCAAUUCUCCCCAGUAACUUGUGCACCUUGAGGUCAUCGAAAUCCUGCAGGUGUAUGCAAUGAAAGCUGCUCUUGGUGUCAAAAGUUAUUUUAAGAAGGGGAUCUCAUUUUGUUGCUCAGGCUGGCUCGAAAUUCCUGUGCUGCAGUGAUUCUCCUGCCUCAGCUUUGCAGUUAGCAUUUGGAUACAAGUGCUCACAAUGGUGCUGGGCCCAGCUACUGUUAAUGAGUCAUUUUGCUCAGAGGAAUGACUGUUGCCAUAAUGUAAAGGACGUUGUGCUGAAUGAAAAUAUGACCUCCUGGAAUGUGGCAAUAGGACUGAUGUUCUUAUCACUGGUUGUUGGAAUUCUGGGAAAUUUAUCUCUGUUUUAUUAUUAUUUAGUCCGUACCUGCAAUGACUGUACAGUAAGGUACACAGAUAUGAUUCUCAAGCACCUGAUGAUAGCCAACUCCUUGGUCAUUCUCUCUAAAGGGAUUCCCCAGACAAUCACAGCUUUUGGUUUGAAGAAUUUCUUCAAUGACCUUGGAUGCAAACUUAUUUUGCAUAUUCAGCGAGUGGGCAGGAGUGUGUCCAUUGGCAUCACCUGCCUCUUGAGCAUCUUCCAUAACAUCACAAUCAGCCCCAUGGUGAUGCUAAGGAAUAGCUGGAAGAAUCUCAAAGGAAGAUCUUCCAAGUACAUUGGCUUCUCCAUUUCCCUCUGCUGGAUCCUGUACAUGGUGGUGAAUCCCAUUUUUUCUCUCUAUAUGCUCAGCAAAUGAAGUAGUGAAAAGAAGACAGAGAAAAGAGAUAUUGGGUACUGUUCUUCUGCAGGUCGUGACAAAAUAACAACUUGUUAUAUGCAGCCUUA